UACGGAGGGUGCAAGCGUUGUCCGGAUUUAUUGGGUUUAAAGGGUGCGUAGGCGGGCCUUUAAGUCAGUGGCGAAAGCCGACAGCUUAACUGUCGAAAUGCCAUUGAUACUGGGGGUCUUGAGUACAGUAGAGGUAGGCGGAAUUAAUGGUGUAGCGGUGAAAUGCAUAGAUACCAUUAAGAACACCGAUUGCGAAGGCAGCUUACUAUAGUGUAACUGACGCUGAGGCACGAAAGUGUGGGGAUCAAACAGG
RNAcentral lists this ribosomal RNA (253 nucleotides) under uncultured bacterium. RNAcentral's name for it is "partial 16S ribosomal RNA". It matches the Rfam family "Bacterial small subunit ribosomal RNA", at positions 524 to 776 of the family's 1533-position model. The record is from RNAcentral.